This 228-nucleotide ribosomal RNA is filed under the name uncultured bacterium. Its description in RNAcentral is "partial 16S ribosomal RNA". It matches the Rfam family "Bacterial small subunit ribosomal RNA", at positions 568 to 795 of the family's 1533-position model. The record is from RNAcentral.
UAUGUAGGUGGUUAAGUAAGUCGAGCGUGAAAUCCAUUGGCUCAACCAAUGAACUGCACUCGAAACUGCAUAACUUGAGUUCAGGAGAGGAAAGCGGAAUUCCCGGUGUAAGAGUGAAAUCUGUAGAGAUCGGGAGGAACACCAGUGGCGAAGGCGGCUUUCUGGACUGAUACUGACACUGAAAUACGAAAGCUAGGGGAGCAAACAGGAUUAGAUACCCUGGUAGUC